Molecule: ribosomal RNA, 467 nt
Filed under: uncultured bacterium
Lineage: Bacteria
Description: partial 16S ribosomal RNA
Rfam family: Bacterial small subunit ribosomal RNA
Source: RNAcentral
ACGAACGCUGGCGGCGUGCUUAACACAUGCAAGUCGAACGGAAAGGCCCUGCUUUUGUGGGGUGCUCGAGUGGCGAACGGGUGAGUAACACGUGAGUAACCUGCCCUUGACUUUGGGAUAACUUCAGGAAACUGGGGCUAAUACCGGAUAGGAGCUCCUGCUGCAUGGUGGGGGUUGGAAAGUUUCGGCGGUUGGGGAUGGACUCGCGGCUUAUCAGCUUGUUGGUGGGGUAGUGGCUUACCAAGGCUUUGACGGGUAGCCGGCCUGAGAGGGUGACCGGCCACAUUGGGACUGAGAUACGGCACAGACUCCUACGGGAGGCAGCAGUGGGGAAUAUUGCACAAUGGGCGGAAGCCUGAUGCAGCAACGCCGCGUGCGGGAUGACGGCCUUCGGGCUGUAAACCGCUUUCGCCUGUGACGAAGCGUGAGUGACGGUAAUGGGUAAAGAAGCACCGGCUAACUACGUG